UACGGGGGGGGCAAGCGUUGUUCGGAAUUACUGGGCGUAAAGGGCGCGUAGGCGGCUCGCUAAGUCGGAUGUGAAAACUCUGGGCUCAACCCAGAGCCUGCAUUCGAAACUGACGAGCUCGAGUUCUGGAGGGGAAAGCGGAAUUCCUGGUGUAGCGGUGAAAUGCGUAGAUAUCAGGAGGAACACCGGUGGCGAAGGCGGGUCUCUGGGCCAUUACUGACGCUGGAGGAGCGAAAGCGUGGGGAGCGAACAGG
Molecule: ribosomal RNA, 254 nt
Filed under: uncultured bacterium
Lineage: Bacteria
Description: partial 16S ribosomal RNA
Rfam family: Bacterial small subunit ribosomal RNA
Source: RNAcentral